AGAAUUAAUGCACUGAACAGGAG
Molecule: small nuclear RNA, 23 nt
Filed under: Arabidopsis thaliana (thale cress)
Lineage: Eukaryota; Viridiplantae; Streptophyta; Magnoliopsida; Brassicales; Brassicaceae
Description: snRNA_08789
Source: RNAcentral